UUUCGGUCACAGCACGAUGAAACACCAGUCCCCGUACGAUCACCGAAGUUAAGCAACGUCAAGUCUGGUUAGUAACUAGAUGGGCGACCACAUAGGAGUUCAGGU
Molecule: non-coding RNA, 105 nt
Organism: Acanthosepion pharaonis
Lineage: Eukaryota; Metazoa; Mollusca; Cephalopoda; Sepiida; Sepiidae
Source: the annotation of a GenBank genome assembly